Long non-coding RNA from Corticium candelabrum, 1450 nucleotides. RefSeq lists it as uncharacterized. The transcript is spliced from 4 exons. The record is from RefSeq and is a predicted model, not a curated record. NCBI's taxonomy places the organism in Eukaryota, Metazoa, Porifera, Homoscleromorpha, Homosclerophorida, Plakinidae.
UUCGCGCGUUCUCUGGUCUGGAAAUUCGAGGCUACAGACGACGGGCAGCGUGGAUAUCCAGCGUAAACAGAAAGGACUGGAAACCGUCGCAGCAUUCGCGUGGUUGCUCUGAACACUUUCUGUCAGGAAAGCCAUUCUCUGUGUAUGAUUCAACUAACCCUGACUGGGUACCAUCUGCAAGGAUGGGUUAUGUUGCUACGAGCACUUACAGUGGAGAGAGAUUCGUUCGUCUCAAGAGAAGGCCUAGUACACCUAACAGCACUGGGGGAAACAAACGUAGGGUAGUAGAUGCACCCGUUGAUGAUGACAAGGACGCUUCUCUAGAGACUGAUCACCACCCGCCAACGGAUACAUUUCUAGCACUAGACGCCACUGAAACAGACGCAGUGACUGGUUGUGCUUGUCAAACAGACCUUGAAGGAGAGAGCAUUGAAUCCAUGAAAAUGGAAUAGAGAAGCUGAGGAAUGAAUGUGAGUGUCUUCGAAGAGAGAAGGACUGCCUUUUGAAAGACAACAAAGCUCUUCAGGAAGACAAUGAGUGGCUGCAAAUGGACAUUCUCAAAGUCAAGGAAGAUGCAAAAAAGUUCUGAAUCAUUUGAGGUUCUUAAAGCAGAUCAACAGAAGCUGAAGUUUUUACACAGAGAUUCCUGAAUGGGCAAUAUUUCUCGCUCUGUUUAAUUAACCCUGUUUCGCCAACUCUAGCAGAUGGUUCAAAACUCCCUAAGACUUUUGCUUUUAUCAUGUUUCUUAUGAAACUUUGACUAAAUAUUUGUGAUCAGGACAUAGCAUACAGAUUUGGCAUUCACAGAACAACAGUGUCAAGAAGUUUUCAGCGAGUGAUGGAAGCAACUGCCAUUAGAACAUCACGCCUGAUAAAGUGGCCAGACAGAGAGACCUUACGACAAACUAUGCCUACUUCCUUCAAAAGAUUCUUUAAAAAGUGUUGUGUGAUUAUUGAUUGCACUGAAGUAUUUAUGGAGAGGCCUUCAGAUCUUCUUGCUUGUGCAUAAGUAAUGGAGUCACUAUAAGCACCAUUCAACAAUAAAGUUUUUGCUUGGGAUUUCACCACGAGGGACUAUAUCAUUUGUGUCGCAGUGUGUUGGUGGACGCAUGUCAGACAAAGAGGUUGUUGAAAAAUCUCAACUUAUGGAACAUUUACUGCCAGGAGACAUUAUAUUGGCUGACAGAGGCUUGACUAUGCCAGUUUGGUAAUGGCUGAGGGGAACCCCUCCGUUUACUAAAGGCAAAAAACAGCUGGAGAAGAAGGAGGUGGACUGGAGUAGAGAGUUGUCUGCUGUCAGAAUACAUCUCGUUAUCUUUAUGUUACCUUUAUGAUUUACCGCACUCGACCAUCAGACUAAGAAAUCACGUCAAACUCGCGAAUUCACUGAUAAAAUUUGCUUUAAAUCUUUCGCAAUUAGUAUACUAGCGCCGUAUUAUCUAACACACAG